AAAAACCAUCGUGAAAAUUGCGCCUUCUUCCCCGAUCGCGUAUACUUUUUUCGUUGACGUAAUACAGUGUGCUUGCGGCUACCAACCGUAAAAACACCGAACAGAAAACCUCGCCGCGGCGGGGUUUUUU
Molecule: small RNA, 130 nt
Filed under: Klebsiella michiganensis
Lineage: Bacteria; Pseudomonadati; Pseudomonadota; Gammaproteobacteria; Enterobacterales; Enterobacteriaceae
Description: istR Hfq binding RNA
Rfam family: istR Hfq binding RNA
Source: RNAcentral